GGCGCUGUGGCUUAGUUGGUUAAAGCGCCUGUCUAGUAAACAGGAGAUCCUGGGUACAAAUCCCAGCAGUGCCU
This 74-nucleotide transfer RNA is filed under the name Perca fluviatilis (European perch). It matches the Rfam family "tRNA". Rfam says of the family: Transfer RNA (tRNA) molecules are approximately 80 nucleotides in length. Their secondary structure includes four short double-helical elements and three loops (D, anti-codon, and T loops). Lineage: Eukaryota; Metazoa; Chordata; Actinopteri; Perciformes; Percidae. The record is from Rfam by way of RNAcentral.